Molecule: ribosomal RNA, 550 nt
Filed under: uncultured bacterium
Lineage: Bacteria
Description: bacterial SSU rRNA
Rfam family: Bacterial small subunit ribosomal RNA
Source: RNAcentral
UGGGGAAUCUUCCGCAAUGGGCGAAAGCCUGACGGAGCAACGCCGCGUGAGUGAAGACGGCCUUCGGGUUGUAAAGCUCUGUUAUACGGGACGAAUAAUCUUGUGGUUAAUACCCAUAAGAAGUGACGGUACCGUAAGAGAAAGCCACGGCUAACUACGUGCCAGCAGCCGCGGUAAUACGUAGGUGGCAAGCGUUGUCCGGAAUUAUUGGGCGUAAAGCGCGCGCAGGCGGAUUGGUCAGUCUGUCUUAAAAGUUCGGGGCUUAACCCCGUGAUGGGAUGGAAACUGCUGAUCUAGAGUAUCGGAGAGGAAAGUGGAAUUCCUAGUGUAGCGGUGAAAUGCGUAGAUAUUAGGAAGAACACCAGUGGCGAAGGCGACUUUCUGGACGAAAACUGACGCUGAGGCGCGAAAGCCAGGGGAGCGAACGGGAUUAGAUACCCCGGUAGUCCUGGCCGUAAACGAUGGGUACUAGGUGUAGGAGGUAUCGACCCCUUCUGUGCCGGAGUUAACGCAAUAAGUACCCCGCCUGGGGAGUACGACCGCAAGGUUG